This 22-nucleotide small nuclear RNA is filed under the name Arabidopsis thaliana (thale cress). RNAcentral describes it as "snRNA_14523". The record is from RNAcentral. Lineage: Eukaryota; Viridiplantae; Streptophyta; Magnoliopsida; Brassicales; Brassicaceae.
CCGAAGAGGGGAAAGGUUCCAU